Molecule: ribosomal RNA, 2016 nt
Filed under: Enterobacter hormaechei
Lineage: Bacteria; Pseudomonadati; Pseudomonadota; Gammaproteobacteria; Enterobacterales; Enterobacteriaceae
Also listed under: 1 other name
Description: partial 23S ribosomal RNA
Rfam family: Bacterial large subunit ribosomal RNA
Source: RNAcentral
CUUACCAACCCGAUGCAAACUACGAAUACCGAAGAAUGUUAUCACGGGAGACACACGGCGGGUGCUAACGUCCGUCGUGAAGAGGGAAACAACCCAGACCGCCAGCUAAGGUCCCAAAGUCAUGGUUAAGUGGGAAACGAUGUGGGAAGGCACAGACAGCCAGGAUGUUGGCUUAGAAGCAGCCAUCAUUUAAAGAAAGCGUAAUAGCUCACUGGUCGAGUCGGCCUGCGCGGAAGAUGUAACGGGGCUAAACCAUGCACCGAAGCUGCGGCAGCGACGCUUAUGCGUUGUUGGGUAGGGGAGCGUUCUGUAAGCCGUUGAAGGUGUGCUGUGAGGCAUGCUGGAGGUAUCAGAAGUGCGAAUGCUGACAUAAGUAACGAUAAAGCGGGUGAAAAGCCCGCUCGCCGGAAGACCAAGGGUUCCUGUCCAACGUUAAUCGGGGCAGGGUGAGUCGACCCCUAAGGCGAGGCCGAAAGGCGUAGUCGAUGGGAAACAGGUUAAUAUUCCUGUACUUGGUGUUACUGCGAAGGGGGGACGGAGAAGGCUAUGUCAGCCGGGCGACGGUUGUCCCGGUUUAAGCAUGUAGGCGGAGGUUCCAGGUAAAUCCGGUACCUUAUUAACGCUGAGGUGUGAUGACGAGGCACUACGGUGCUGAAGUGAUAAAUGCCCUGCUUCCAGGAAAAGCCUCUAAGCAUCAGGUAACACGAAAUCGUACCCCAAACCGACACAGGUGGUCAGGUAGAGAAUACCAAGGCGCUUGAGAGAACUCGGGUGAAGGAACUAGGCAAAAUGGUGCCGUAACUUCGGGAGAAGGCACGCUGAUGUGUAGGUGAAGUCCCUGCGGACGGAGCUGAAAUCAGUCGAAGAUACCAGCUGGCUGCAACUGUUUAUUAAAAACACAGCACUGUGCAAACACGAAAGUGGACGUAUACGGUGUGACGCCUGCCCGGUGCCGGAAGGUUAAUUGAUGGGGUUAGCGGCAACGCGAAGCUCUUGAUCGAAGCCCCGGUAAACGGCGGCCGUAACUAUAACGGUCCUAAGGUAGCGAAAUUCCUUGUCGGGUAAGUUCCGACCUGCACGAAUGGCGUAAUGAUGGCCAGGCUGUCUCCACCCGAGACUCAGUGAAAUUGAACUCGCUGUGAAGAUGCAGUGUACCCGCGGCAAGACGGAAAGACCCCGUGAACCUUUACUAUAGCUUGACACUGAACACUGGUCCUUGAUGUGUAGGAUAGGUGGGAGGCUUUGAAGCGUGGACGCCAGUCUGCGUGGAGCCGCCCUUGAAAUACCACCCUUUAAUGGCUGGUGUUCUAACGUAGACCCGUGAUCCGGGUUGCGGACAGUGUCUGGUGGGUAGUUUGACUGGGGCGGUCUCCUCCCAAAGAGUAACGGAGGAGCACGAAGGUUGGCUAAUCCUGGUCGGACAUCAGGAGGUUAGUGCAAUGGCAUAAGCCAGCUUGACUGCGAGCGUGACGGCGCGAGCAGGUGCGAAAGCAGGUCAUAGUGAUCCGGUGGUUCUGAAUGGAAGGGCCAUCGCUCAACGGAUAAAAGGUACUCCGGGGAUAACAGGCUGAUACCGCCCAAGAGUUCAUAUCGACGGCGGUGUUUGGCACCUCGAUGUCGGCUCAUCACAUCCUGGGGCUGAAGUAGGUCCCAAGGGUAUGGCUGUUCGCCAUUUAAAGUGGUACGCGAGCUGGGUUUAGAACGUCGUGAGACAGUUCGGUCCCUAUCUGCCGUGGGCGCUGGAGAAUUGAGGGGGGCUGCUCCUAGUACGAGAGGACCGGAGUGGACGCAUCACUGGUGUUCGGGUUGUCAUGCCAAUGGCACUGCCCGGUAGCUAAAUGCGGAAGAGAUAAGUGCUGAAAGCAUCUAAGCACGAAACUUGCCCCGAGAUGAGUUCUCCCUGAGACUUUAAGUCUCCUGAAGGAACGUUGAAGACGACGACGUUGAUAGGUCGGGUGUGUAAGCGCAGCGAUGCGUUGAGCUAACCGAUACUAAUGAACCGUGAGGCUUAACCUU